UAGUUUAUUUAAUUCCCCUUCUCUUUCCACGAUUUGGGCAUGGAAGCGAUGGAAACAGCGAUUCCCCCCCCCCCUCCGAACAAAGCUCUGAGUUUCACGGGGGUUCAUGGCACCAGAUCUUUAGGUUCUCUCAAAGUAGUAGGUUAUGAGCUUAUGAUGCUGAUUUUGCUUAGGACAAGAAUGUCUUCAGGGAUGAUUGCCGUGAGAAAUCAAGUUUUGCAGAAAAAUAAAUGUGGUAAGAGAUGCCAUAACGUCAUAUCUUUCGACUUUAUGCCGUUAACAGAAAACACCUGAAAUCAACUUGGUGUACUUAUAUCACACCUCGUGGAAGAGAAACAUGAUAUUGAUGAUUAAUGUAAUUUGUUAUGUAAUUAGUUUUUAUAUAUGAUAAGUUAACAGAAGAAUAACACUAAGCUUAACCAUUUCAAUAGAAAACUGAACUUCUAUAU
Molecule: long non-coding RNA, 449 nt
Organism: Brassica oleracea var. oleracea
Lineage: Eukaryota; Viridiplantae; Streptophyta; Magnoliopsida; Brassicales; Brassicaceae
Exons: 3
Source: RefSeq, a predicted model, not a curated record